UCAAUGGGAAACUAGGGUUCCGGUCGAUACAAUAAACGGCGUCAGGUCCAAGAGUUUCCGGUCUCGUGAUAGCGAGGCUCCACGGAGGGAUAAAAGCCCGGGAGGU
Molecule: small RNA, 106 nt
Filed under: Nitrosomonas sp.
Lineage: Bacteria; Pseudomonadati; Pseudomonadota; Betaproteobacteria; Nitrosomonadales; Nitrosomonadaceae
Description: Guanidine-I sequence
Rfam family: Guanidine-I riboswitch aptamer
About the family: This family represents a conserved RNA structure found upstream of the ykkC and yxkD genes in Bacillus subtilis and related genes in other bacteria.
Source: RNAcentral